UAUGUUUUGACCAUGACAGUUUACAAUCUAGUGUUACUCCAAGCAGUUUAGUCAUCUCAAUUUGCUACAUUUUUCACGUCAUUUAUUACAAGAUUUAGUUGACAUUUAAGAUUUAGUGAGCGUUUUGUUCCAAAUAUAAUGCUUUUUGUUUUAGAAAUAUUUAGGGCUAACUUAUUCUCUGCCACCCACUCUGAAACUAACUGCAGCGCUUUUAGUGUUGCAGUCAUUUCAGUCGCUGUAGUAGCUGACGUGUAUAGUGUUGAGUCAUCCGCGUACAUAGAAACUCUUUACCUUUUACUCAAAGUCAGUGGCAUGCCGUUAGUAAAGAUUGAAAAAAGCAAGGGGUCUAAACAGCUACACUGUUAUCUGUGUUAUAAUGUUUUAUCUUGAUUGUAUAUACUUUUUUGCUCCUCGUGAGGUAGAUGACCAGGUUUUUUUUCUGUUUCUGAUUCAAUGUAUCAUUAGGUUCGAUGCAGUGUGUGAUCAUCUUCGAUGUCUUCCUCAAAAUUAUGGCUGAAAAAGAAACCACAAACAGUAUUUGCCAAUAUCAUAACUGGAGCUGGACAUCUUUGGAGCUGAAGAAUGAGGACAGCUUUUAUAUGCUAACGUGUACACUCCUUAACAGUUGUACUGGAUGAAAACACAGCAAGAAAACACAUAGGCCAAUAUGUAAUAGUCAUCUAUUUUAUGAAAAUAUUGGUGAACAACAACACGUUUUACUAAUGGAAAAAAACUGCAAGAAAAGACUGACAACUUAUGAAUAUGCAUAACCGAUAAUUCAUAUUCAUGCAGUGAUUGAACAACAACUGCAUUUACACCCCCCCCCACACACCUCUAAGCAUAGUAUCAUGGCAGAUUACUGUUCAAGUCACCUGUCAAGUCAGUCGGUAAUUGCUGCAGAUGUGCUCAAUAAUGCUUUAUAAGGGCACAAGGCGAGACCCAAAUGCAGACACGGGAGCCAGAUGGUUGAGCUCCGAUAUUUAUUAUAACAAAAGGGGUAGGCAAAAGGCAGGUCGGGGAUAGGCGAGAGUUCAUAACCAGGUUAGAGUCCAAACAGUACCAGGGGAUAGGCAGGUUCGAGGUCAGGACAGGGAGAGUGGUCAGGCAGGCGGGUUCGGCAUCUGGACAGGCAAGGGUCAUAAUCAGGAGGGCUAGGAACAAGCAGAGACUGGGGAAAAUAGGAGCAAGGAAAAACACUGGUUGACUUGGAAAACAAGACGAACUGGCACAGAGAGACAGGAAACACAGGGAUAAAUACACCAGGGAUAAUAAGCGACACCUGGAGGGGUUUGGAGACAAGCACAAGGACAGGUGAAACAGAUCAGGGUGUGACAGCUUAAGCAUAUGAUACUCCCCAAAGCAUGGUGAAACACAUAGAGGUGUGUCACAAGCUCAACACAUAUACUUUGGCAACCUCCUCUGCUUCCUUCUAAUGGUGGCAGCCAGGCAGACUUUGCAGUGCCUCCGUGUGUGACUACCUUGAGCAGCAGAUUGAGGGACUUUGCAGGGAAAUACAGUGCAGUGAGGCGUAGGGGAUUGUCCGCAGCAGGGUGACCCCCAGUGGAUGGGUGCCGAGAGGUGUGGUGCUCCUCCAGCAGCUCUCUCAUGAGUUCUCGCUGUACUUGGAAGGUAACUUACUUUACCUGUGGGGGAGAGGGAGGAUGAUGAGGCAGUGGAUAGGUGGGUGAGAUAUUGACACUAUAAUUGCAAAAUGGAACUGUAUGUGAUGUGUGUGAACUGUACGUUCAUUUUUUUUUUAAAUGACCUUGUUCAGCAAUCAUCUCACCUGUUAGUUGGCGAUGAACUGUGUGGCCAUCGAGGGCAGCAGUGUCGAUCAGAUGGAAAAUUAUCUUCUUGGUAGUUUUCCGAGCGCAUUCCACAAAGCUGUUUAUCAUGUCCGUUUUAUCCACUGCCCCCAUUUUGAGGUUAUAGUCAAGCACACAGUCUGGUUUGAUGUUUCUCUCUCCCGUCAGGUGGUCCACCUUGGUUGGCCAACAUGGUUGCUGUAUGGACAGUGGAGAGGACACGUACAUCUCGUUUGUCAUGCCACUUUACUGCCAGCUGUUGACCGUUCUCCUGGAACCCCUGCCACCCCUCUGCUGCAUCCGAAUGCCGGCAUCCCCUUCCUGUUCGAACUGACUGUGCCACAGGCCCCUGUGCUGUUGGAGAGAAGAUGCUGGAAGAGUGUGAGACUGCUGUACCAACUGUCUACAUACAAAGUGUGUCCCUUGCUGAGAUGAGGAGCCAGCAUGGUCAUCACCAGGGACCCGGACACCCCAGGCCCCUCAUGUUGUUGUAUGUCAGUGGUGGACCCUGUAUAGACUAUAAUGUCCUGGACAAAUCCUGUAUUCACGUCGCACAUGACAAAGAACUUGACCCCAAACCUGUGCCUUUUGGAGGAAAUACAUGGACGGAACACCAGCCUACCCUUCCAUAACAUCAGGGACUUUUCUUAUUUUGUGUGACGGGUCAUUUAGGUUGGCAGUAGCAUUGUUGAUCGAAAUGCAGGCAUCGCAGCAGAACUAGGAAGUGGUCUUUGGAAAAGAUGGUGGCAAAGAAGGGAGUUGCAAACAGGAUCUGUGCUCCAGUAUUCUCUUAGGGAGUUCUUUACUAUUCCCAUGAGAAGGACUGUCACCAGGAAGGUAUACAUUACACUAAUUGUGGUUGUCCCAGCCACUCCUGGCUCUCUCUUCUCCUGUAUCUCCAAGGCAUAGCGAUUGGUCUCCUCUACUAUGUCUCCCACCAGCUUCUCUGUCAGAAACAGCUUGAAGCACUCUUCCUCAGAGGGAAAUGGCAAGGGGCUUUGCACUUCAGACUGGGACUCAAAGCAAACAGAAGGGCAGGGAGGGGUGAAAUUGCUUUCACUUACCAUAGACCUCCUGUACUUCAUCCACUGUCGGUCUGCCUCUAUCACCACCAGCAUCUUCAAAGGGACCUGGGACUUCGUCAGUGGACAAGGUGUCCUCAGAUUCAGGGUUCUCAAUGGCUACAAGGUUGGGGGGCAGCUCCUCACUGUCACUGUCACUGUCAGAAUCUGAUUCCUGACUUUCAGACUCACUGUCAGAAUUUAUAAAAUCUCCAUAAUUUCCCCAUUUGUGAAGGAUAUUGCUAAUACUUCAGCUUAGCCUACUAACUACAUAAACAACAACACUGAAUGGCUCAGAGUGGGAGUCAGAGGUUAUGUGAUUGACUGCCGACAUCCCUAAACAGUGUUAAAUGCUGACUGUUGCGUCAAUCGAAACUGGACGUUCUAAAUAAGCGCUCUAAUCACAGCGGUUUGAGCGUACGUUGUAGAGCGAUCACACCUGUUUGUUUCUCCGUGUGAAAAGGUUAAUACCAAAUGUUGCUUUGGUUUUGAAAUAUUUUACAGCCCGGUUUAAGGUGGUAUAUGAAUGGUAUUAACUAAGAAAAUAUGUGUUAACUGUAGAGUAAUUUUUUACAUAAAAUAAAUUGUUUAAGAAUUGCGUA
Non-coding RNA from Oncorhynchus mykiss (rainbow trout), 3468 nucleotides. The record is from RefSeq and is a predicted model, not a curated record. NCBI's taxonomy places the organism in Eukaryota, Metazoa, Chordata, Actinopteri, Salmoniformes, Salmonidae.